Molecule: ribosomal RNA, 767 nt
Filed under: uncultured marine bacterium
Lineage: Bacteria
Description: bacterial SSU rRNA
Rfam family: Bacterial small subunit ribosomal RNA
Source: RNAcentral
AUGCAUGCAAGUCGAGCGAAGCUUUUCAGUAGUUUACUACAGAAAAUGACUGAGCGGCGAACGGGUGAGUAACGCGUGAGCAAUCUACCUUAGUUACAGGGAUAGCCCGAGGAAACUCGGAUUAAUACCUGAUAUUCUUUAUAUUUCGCAUGAAAUUAAAAGGAAAGGUCAGCCGAACUAAGAUGAGCUCGCGUUCUAUCAGCUAGUUGGUGAGAUAAAAGCUCACCAAGGCUACGACGGAUAGCUGGUCUGAGAGGACGAUCAGCCACACUGGGACUGAGACACGGCCCAGACUCCUACGGGAGGCUGCAGCAGGGAAUAUUGUGCAAUGAACGAAAGUUUGACACAGCGACACCGCGUGUGGGAUGACGGAUCUAGGUUUGUAAACCACUUUCAGGAGGGAAGAAAAUGACGGUACCUCCACAAGAAGCCCCGGCCAACUACGUGCCAGCAGCCGCGGUAAUACGUAGGGGGCGAGCGUUGUCCGGAUUUAUUGGGCGUAAAGAGCUCGUAGGCGGUUCAACAAGUCGUUCGUGAAAGUUCAGGGCUCAACCCUGAAAUGUCGAUCGAUACUGUUGUGACUAGGAUACGGUAGAGGUGAGUGGAAUUCCGAGUGUAGCGGUGAAAUGCGUAGAUAUUCGGAGGAACACCAAUUGCGAAGGCAGCUCACUGGGCCGCUAUCGACGCUGAGGAGCGAAAGCUAGGGGAGCAAACAGGAUUAGAUACCCUGGUAGUCCUAGCUGUAAACGAUGGAUACUAGACGUAGA